GCCGGCAGUGAGCUCCGGGGUUACUUCCCUUCUAAGGACGAGGUCGCGGGUUCGAAUCCCGCCUCUGGUACCA
This 73-nucleotide transfer RNA is filed under the name Sorangium cellulosum. Its description in RNAcentral is "tRNA-Ser". Lineage: Bacteria; Pseudomonadati; Myxococcota; Polyangiales; Polyangiaceae. The record is from RNAcentral.